Long non-coding RNA from Tympanuchus pallidicinctus (lesser prairie-chicken), 516 nucleotides. RefSeq lists it as uncharacterized. Lineage: Eukaryota; Metazoa; Chordata; Aves; Galliformes; Phasianidae. The record is from RefSeq and is a predicted model, not a curated record. The transcript is spliced from 4 exons.
GUGUCGUGUAAGUGUCUGUUGUGUGGGUCAUCUAUUGUCUCUAGGCUAUUUAUUUUUCACUAUUUUUUGAUGGCAACAGACAGUUCUCAGUCAUGCUGCAUAAUCACAGGAUGACAGAAUGACUGAGGAUGGGAGGGACUUCUGGAUCCAACUGAUUCAACUCCUGCUCAACGGAGUUGCCCAGAGAAGGUUGCCCAGGGCCAUGUCCAGACUCUGAGCCACAAAGACCAAACAGCUAGUCCAGAAUCCUGCAGGAAUUUUAUGACAGAUUGAGAACUGGACCUUUCUCUAUCAAGUCUCAACUUAGUGAUUCACCAGCAUGAAGAAUCCCCAAAUUCAAAUUUGCAGCCUUCCUAAAGUGGUCUGAUAUUGAAGAACCAGAGCCAAGCUGAGAAAAAUGAACAUCUGCUUUUGCAGAAUAUAAAAUACGCUUUUCCCUUCUUCUCUGUCACUCUCAUAUAGUGCAAAGAUAGCAUGAACUGCACCAGCCCUCAUUUAGUAAUGCUUUUACUUGUU